RNAcentral lists this ribosomal RNA (492 nucleotides) under uncultured bacterium. RNAcentral describes it as "partial 16S ribosomal RNA". It matches the Rfam family "Bacterial small subunit ribosomal RNA", at positions 29 to 507 of the family's 1533-position model. The record is from RNAcentral.
AGUGAACGCUGGCGGUAGGCCUAACACAUGCCAGUCGAACGGCAGCACAGUAAGAGCUUGCUCUUACGGGUGGCGAGUGGCGGACGGGUGAGGAAUACAUCGGAAUCUACUUUUUCGUGGGGGAUAACGUAGGGAAACUUACGCUAAUACCGCAUACGACCUACGGGUGAAAGCAGGGGAUCUUCGGACCUUGCGCGAUUGAAUGAGCCGAUGUCGGAUUAGCUAGUUGGCGGGGUAAAGGCCCACCAUGGCGACGAUCCGUAGCUGGUCUGAGAGGAUGAUCAGCCACACUGGAACUGAGACACGGUCCAGACUCCUACGGGAGGCAGCAGUGGGGAAUAUUGGACAAUGGGCGCAAGCCUGAUCCAGCCAUACCGCGUGGGUGAAGAAGGCCUUCGGGUUGUAAAGCCCUUUUGUUGGGAAAGAAAAGCAGCAGGUUAAUACCCCGCUGUUCUGACGGUACCCAAAGAAUAAGCACCGGCUAACUUCGUG